This 1518-nucleotide ribosomal RNA is filed under the name uncultured bacterium. Its description in RNAcentral is "partial 16S ribosomal RNA". It matches the Rfam family "Bacterial small subunit ribosomal RNA". The record is from RNAcentral.
UAGAGUUUGAUCCUGGCUCAGGAUGAACGCUGGCGGCGUGCCUAAUACAUGCAAGUCGAGCGAACAGAUGAGGAGCUUGCUCCUCUGACGUUAGCGGCGGACGGGUGAGUAACACGUGGAUAACCUACCUAUAAGACUGGGAUAACUUCGGGAAACCGGAGCUAAUACCGGAUAAUAUAUUGAACCGCAUGGUUCAAUAGUGAAAGACGGUUUUGCUGUCACUUAUAGAUGGAUCCGCGCCGCAUUAGCUAGUUGGUAAGGUAACGGCUUACCAAGGCAACGAUGCGUAGCCGACCUGAGAGGGUGAUCGGCCACACUGGAACUGAGACACGGCCCAGACUCCUACGGGAGGCAGCAGUAGGGAAUCUUCGGCAAUGGACGGAAGUCUGACCGAGCAACGCCGCGUGAGUGAAGAAGGUUUUCGGAUCGUAAAGCUCUGUUGUAAGAGAAGAACGAGUGUGAGAGUGGAAAGUUCACACUGUGACGGUAACUUACCAGAAAGGGACGGCUAACUACGUGCCAGCAGCCGCGGUAAUACGUAGGUCCCGAGCGUUAUCCGGAUUUAUUGGGCGUAAAGCGAGCGCAGGCGGUUAGAUAAGUCUGAAGUUAAAGGCUGUGGCUUAACCAUAGUACGCUUUGGAAACUGUUUAACUUGAGUGCAGAAGGGGAGAGUGGAAUUCCAUGUGUAGCGGUGAAAUGCGUAGAUAUAUGGAGGAACACCGGUGGCGAAAGCAGCUCUCUGGUCUGUAACUGACGCUGAGGAGCGAAAGCGUGGGGAGCGAACAGGCUUAGAUACCCUGGUAGUCCACGCUGUAAACGGUGGGUACUAGGUGUGGGGUCCAUUCCACGGGUUCCGCGCCGUAGCUAACGCUUUAAGUACCCCGCCUGGGGAGUACGGCCGCAAGGCUAAAACUCAAAGGAAUUGACGGGGCCCCGCACAAGCGGCGGAGCAUGCGGAUUAAUUCGAUGCAACGCGUAGAACCUUACCUGGGUUUGACAUGGAUCGGGAGUGCUCAGAGAUGGGUGUGCCUCUUUUGGGGUCGGUUCACAGGUGGUGCAUGGCUGUCGUCAGCUCGUGUCGUGAGAUGUUGGGUUAAGUCCCGCAACGAGCGCAACCCUUGUUCACUGUUGCCAGCACGUUAUGGUGGGGACUCAGUGGAGACCGCCGGGGUCAACUCGGAGGAAGGUGGGGAUGACGUCAAGUCAUCAUGCCCCUUAUGUCCAGGGCUUCACGCAUGCUACAAUGGCUGGUACAGAGAGUGGCGAGCCUGUGAGGGUGAGCGAAUCUCGGAAAGCCGGUCUCAGUUCGGAUUGGGGUCUGCAACUCGACCUCAUGAAGUCGGAGUCGCUAGUAAUCGCAGAUCAGCAACGCUGCGGUGAAUACGUUCCCGGGGCUUGUACACACCGCCCGUCAAGUCAUGAAAGUUGGUAACACCCGAAGCCGGUGGCCUAACCGUUGUGGGGGAGCCGUCGAAGGUGGGACUGGUGAUUAGGACUAAGUCGUAACAAGGUAACCAA